Molecule: non-coding RNA, 99 nt
Organism: Naganishia cerealis
Lineage: Eukaryota; Fungi; Basidiomycota; Tremellomycetes; Filobasidiales; Filobasidiaceae
Source: the annotation of a GenBank genome assembly
GUCGGAAUGCCGCAGUGGUCUACCGGGUCGGCCUUAAGCUUCCUUGAGCUAAGUUAUCCGAUGGCGAGAGCCGCGUGGGUUCGAACCCCACUUCUGACA